This is a long non-coding RNA of Caenorhabditis elegans, 314 nucleotides long. Ensembl annotates it as ncRNA. Its record names the gene linc-49. Lineage: Eukaryota; Metazoa; Nematoda; Chromadorea; Rhabditida; Rhabditidae. The record is from Ensembl.
CUGAUGAGUGUCCAAUUCUUUAGUACAGUUUACAUAGAAAUUCGACUUUUAUUCAAGUUGGUUUGUUCCCGGAAUUUUGGUUUUUCUACAACUAGUCGCGGCUGAUGCAAUUUUGCAUCUUCAGUAACUCUACAAUAGUCGUACUUGUCACAUCUGAGGAAGAUCCAUCUCGAACUGCUGCUUUUUUUUUGUUUUUAGGCUUCCCCAAACUUAUAUGUUGGACACAAAUACAUUUUUUAUUUUAUUUACAAGUAUCAAUAUUAUUCUAAUAUAAUAAAAGAUUAUUUAGAUGAAACAAAUAAAUAAAAAAUUGA